UGCCAGCCGCCGCGGUAAUACAGAGAUGGCAACCGUUAUUCGGAAUCACUGGGCUUAAAGCGCACGCAGGCGGAAUUAUAAGCUGGUUGUGAAAUCCCAUGGCUUACCCAUGGAACUGCAUCCAGAACUGUAAAUCUUGAGGUCAGGAGGGGAGAGUGGAACUCAUAGUGGAGCGGUGAAAUGCGUUGAUAUUAUGAGGAACGCCGGAGGCGAAAGCGACUCUCUGGACUGAAUCUGACGCUGAGGUGCGAAAGCUAGGGGAGCAAACGGGAUUAGAUA
This 279-nucleotide ribosomal RNA is filed under the name uncultured bacterium. RNAcentral's name for it is "partial 16S ribosomal RNA". It matches the Rfam family "Bacterial small subunit ribosomal RNA", at positions 506 to 784 of the family's 1533-position model. The record is from RNAcentral.